Molecule: ribosomal RNA, 274 nt
Filed under: uncultured bacterium
Lineage: Bacteria
Description: partial 16S ribosomal RNA
Rfam family: Bacterial small subunit ribosomal RNA
Source: RNAcentral
AUACGGAGGGUGCGAGCGUUAAUCGGAAUUACUGGGCGUAAAGCGCGCGUAGGCGGCUGAUUAAGUCGGAUGUGAAAUCCCUGGGCUCAACCUAGGAACUGCAUCCGAUACUGGUCAGCUAGAGUUUUGGAGAGGUAAGUGGAAUUUCCGGUGUAGCGGUGAAAUGCAUAGAGAUCGGAAGGAACACCAGUGGCGAAGGCGACUUACUGGCCAAAAACUGACGCUGAGGUGCGAAAGCGUGGGUAGCGAACAGGAUUAGAAACCCUAGUAGUCC